CAGCAGCCACGGUAAUACGUAGGUCCCGAGCGUUGUCCGGAUUUAUUGGGCGUAAAGCGAGCGCAGGCGGUUAGAUAAGUCUGAAGUUAAAGGCUGUGGCUUAACCAUAGUACGCUUUGGAAACUGUUUAACUUGAGUGCAAGAGGGGAGAGUGGAAUUCCAUGUGUAGCGGUGAAAUGCGUAGAUAUAUGGAGGAACACCGGUGGCGAAAGCGGCUCUCUGGCUUGUAACUGACGCUGAGGCUCGAAAGCGUGGGGCGCAAACAGGAUUAGAUACCCCCGUAGUCCCUGUCUCUUAUACA
This 301-nucleotide ribosomal RNA is filed under the name uncultured bacterium. RNAcentral describes it as "partial 16S ribosomal RNA". It matches the Rfam family "Bacterial small subunit ribosomal RNA", at positions 509 to 808 of the family's 1533-position model. The record is from RNAcentral.